CCUGUUCAGCAAUGAGGCCUGGAAUGUGCGCUAGGCACGGUGCCCCGAGUCAGACUGCGGAACCAUUCCUGUUGCCUGCCUUCUGAGAACAGC
This 93-nucleotide small nucleolar RNA is filed under the name Microcebus murinus (gray mouse lemur). Its description in RNAcentral is "Small nucleolar RNA U83B (ENSMICG00000020130.3)". It matches the Rfam family "Small nucleolar RNA U83B". From Rfam's summary of the family: U83B belongs to the C/D family of snoRNAs. U83B like U83A has no documented RNA target and they share the same host gene with the C/D box snoRNA U43 (RPL3). Lineage: Eukaryota; Metazoa; Chordata; Mammalia; Primates; Cheirogaleidae. The record is from Rfam by way of RNAcentral.